Non-coding RNA from Podarcis lilfordi (Lilford's wall lizard), 71 nucleotides. The record is from the annotation of a GenBank genome assembly. NCBI's taxonomy places the organism in Eukaryota, Metazoa, Chordata, Lepidosauria, Squamata, Lacertidae.
GCCGGCAUAGCUCAAUCGGUAGAGCUUGAGACUCAACCUCAGGGUUGUGAGUUUGAGCCCCAUGAUGGGCU